AUAUAUAUGAAAGUUGGUUAACU
This 23-nucleotide small nuclear RNA is filed under the name Arabidopsis thaliana (thale cress). RNAcentral's name for it is "snRNA_06070". Lineage: Eukaryota; Viridiplantae; Streptophyta; Magnoliopsida; Brassicales; Brassicaceae. The record is from RNAcentral.